Molecule: long non-coding RNA, 3093 nt
Filed under: Homo sapiens (human)
Lineage: Eukaryota; Metazoa; Chordata; Mammalia; Primates; Hominidae
Description: HSALNT0060125
Source: RNAcentral
CACAUCGCCCCCCUCCCACCCCCGCAACCAUCUGAAGGAAAUAGACUGCAGCACUGAUUGGCUGACUUUGGCUGUGCAUGCUUAUGAGGCCCUAAAAACUGCACACCUUAAAGAGAAACUUAGAAACUGCUUCUUGCAGAACUAUUGCUACAGGGCCAUCAGCAUGUGACACUAGGAGACUGUGCCAUGUCAUCCUUAUGUGGGUCUGGGUCACAGCCGCCCAUCUGCUGUGCUCCCUGGCUGCCUCUUUUGUGAAAAAGAAGGUGAGGAGGACCAGCGAGGAGACACGCCCACUCCAGGGGAACACCUCCUCCCACAGGCUCAUAGGAGGAAUGGACUUGCCUUGUCUCAGCUCGAAUUCUCUCUCCUGCCACCCUGAGAAGAGGUGCCUUCCACCAUGAUUGCACUCCCUCCAAGACAGACUUCUCUGUGGAAGCAGCAUAUUGGAGGCCUGCUAGGACAGUUCACAGGAAUGGCUGUGGAGGGCUGCAGGCAUGUCUCUAAUCAGAACCUGCUUGUCUUUUUGAUUGACAGCUGCACUUUCUCCACCAAGAAGUGGGUACUGUGCAAGUUAUGGUCAUAGUGAAGGUGGGGGACAUGGAGAUGAUCCCGAAUGAGCUGCAUAGGCCUCAUCGAAUCAGUGGAAAGCCUUGAGAACAGAGCCAAAGUUUCUCUGAGGAAGGGGAAAUUCUACCUGUAGACAGCAGCUUCAGUUCCUGCUGCAGUUUCCAGCCUGCCCUUCCUGAUGUCCUUCCCUGUGGAUUCCAGAUUUGCCAGCCAGUCCUCAUAGCCACAUAAGCCAAUUGCUUGUAAUAAAUCUCCUAGUGUUAAUGAUCCUUUAAUAAUAUACAUAUAAAUAAUAUAUCCUAGUAUUAAUAAAUCAAUCUCCCUCUCUCCAUCUCUCUCUCUCUCUCUCUCUCUCUCUCUCACACACACACACACACACACACACACACACACACACACGUCUUACUAGUUCUACUUCUCUGGUGGAACCUUGACUGAUAUAGAUGAGUAACCAGAAAAAAUUUAACGUGGAGAGGGGGCUUGACCAGAUGUUUUACCAAUCUGUAUAGACAACUUUCCAAAAUGUGGUCAGUCAGGACACAGUCAUCAGUAGUCUAAUCAGGUGGACUUAACUAUCUAAGGCCAAAGCACAGCCAGCCAGUGUCAUAGAUCUGGAUGGCACAAUCAGUAUAGCAGCUGUCCAGAACACAGCUGACCAGGCAGGAUGGAUUAAAGCCACAAUGUAGAAGACAAGAUGAAGACAGGCAAUUGUCCUGGACGUGGCUGUCCAAGAAGACAGUCAUGGGGGAAAUGGCCAGUGUUUCCCAGGAUCUGAGUGGCCAGUCCAUAGUCAUGAGGCUAAAACCAAAAAGGAUUCACUGUCCACGACACUAUGGCCAAGAACAUAGUUCUCAAGGGCAAAGCCAGUGUAGACAGAGCGGAUAGGACAUCAAUGACCAAGAACAAGUCCCAAGGAUGCACAGCCAAUGCCAACAUGUAGAUGGUUCUAAACUGUACAGGAUACUCAUGGCCAUGCAUAACCUUGAGGGAAGUGUCCUUGAGACAGCCACCAUGUGUACUUGUGCUAGAGGUAGGCUGUGGUUUAUUUUUCUCAUUUAUCCAAGAAGCUAUUUUUGUUCAUUAAAACCUAGUUACUUGCUGUAUCUAGCCAGGAUCCUGGAGUGCUCGCUUGGUUAAUUUAAGCAAGCAGAGCUUUGACAAAGUAAUUUUAUUGUCCUCUGGGAUUGGCCAGCUUAUGCCAAGCCUCACUCUUUCUGUUGAAAUGGAGUUAAUUUUCGCUGAAAUUGCUUCUUAGCAGACAAACAUAUUCCCCAUCAUUGAGGGCUUAUGCUUCUGCAGCUCUAUUAUUCCUUAAUUUACACACUCGGCAGCAUAGGAUCCAUGCCCAAGACAGACAGAGACUCCUGCAGGUGGAGGAAGGCGGAGAAGACGGCAGCCCCUGUUCAGCUCCUCAUACCUGGUUAGAAUUAGCCGUUAGCAAUUAGUCAUCAAUCAUCCAAUCAGUCUGUGCAGCCAGAGCCCCCAGUGUGCCCAGCUCUGUGCCAACCACAGCAAGAGGAUGCAAGGAGGAGGGGUUCCCUGUCUGAAGAACCCAGUUUAUUUGGGGAGGUGAGACUCAGACAUGGGACUCAGAAUUGACACAACACAAUAUUAGCUCAGACUUUGGCUCUGGUCCAAGACAUGGAAUAAUGGAGCGACUUGCUGAUGGGACAUGAAAAGAUGGAACGGUCUGAAAAAGAAGGAAAGAGAAUGGCCCUUGGAGGGGACCUGUCAUAGAGGAGCCCUGAAACUUCUGGUAAACCUUCAGGGAGGGGCUGCAAAAGUGGGCAGAAUAGGAUGGACUGGGUAAAUGGGUCUAGGAGGAGCACAGUGGCAAUCAGUGUUCUUCAGAGUAAGGAAGGACAGGAAGUGUUCAGGACAGGGCAAAGGCCAGGACUGGGGUCAAGACCAUGACAAUUAAGCCAGCAUCUGAGUCACUAUCAUUGCUGGCCUUAGAGUCAUGAAGGGCAUUCAAGGUGAGAUCAAGGCUAGAGGAAGGGCAGCUUGGCCCACAGCUGAUGUCAUGGCCAGCACCACGGAGAGCUCCCGUAGGUUCUGGUGCCUCCCACACCCAGUGGGCAUAAAUAUUCAGAUCCCAGUUGUAGAAGCAGAAAUAAGUAAGCCCAUGUUCUUUCAUUCAGCCUUGGCUAGGAAAUAUAACUGAAGCAGAAGACAUGGGCUUUGCCUAGCAGCUAAUGAAGAACCUUGAAAAAAAAAAGGGAGUCUGUUGACACAGAUGCUUUGAGAAGACAAGCAAUAAGCUAGCCAUUACAUCUUGUUAGAUGGAUUAGGAGAACACUGGGGAAUAUUUGCAUACCAAUUACCAUAAAAUUUGAGUUCAAUCUAUACUUAUUUUAUGACUUGCCUUCAGAAAGUUGAGUUUCUGUGUACAUCUGUUUGCUAAGAAGAUUCAUUUUCCUGUAAUAUUGAAAUUUUUGUCAUAAUAGUUUCAAAAAGUGUUGACUUGUAACAUUAACAUUGAAGAUUAAAAAUGUUUAUUAAAAAAAGCAUUUGUUAAAAUGUUUG